This 600-nucleotide ribosomal RNA is filed under the name uncultured bacterium. RNAcentral describes it as "bacterial SSU rRNA". It matches the Rfam family "Bacterial small subunit ribosomal RNA", at positions 56 to 702 of the family's 1533-position model. The record is from RNAcentral.
UGCAAGUCGAACGGGUCCUUCGGGACUAGUGGCGGACGGGUGAGUAACGCGUGGGAACAUACCCAAAGGUACGGAAUAGCCUCGGGAAACUGAGAGUAAUACCGUAUGUGCCCUUCGGGGGAAAGAUUUAUCGCCUUUGGAUUGGCCCGCGUUGGAUUAGGUAGUUGGUGGGGUAAUGGCCUACCAAGCCGACGAUCCAUAGCUGGUUUGAGAGGAUGAUCAGCCACACUGGGACUGAGACACGGCCCAGACUCCUACGGGAGGCAGCAGUGGGGAAUCUUAGACAAUGGGGGAGACCCUGAUCUAGCCAUGCCGCGUGAUCGAUGAAGGCCUUAGGGUUGUAAAGAUCUUUCAGUUGGGAAGAUAAUGACGGUACCAACAGAAGAAGCCCCGGCUAACUCCGUGCCAGCAGCCGCGGUAAUACGGAGGGGGCUAGCGUUAUUCGGAAUUACUGGGCGUAAAGCGCACGUAGGCGGAUUAGAAAGUCAGAGGUGAAAUCCCAGGGCUCAACCUUGGAACUGCCUUUGAAACUCCUAGUCUUGAGGUCGAGAGAGGUGAGUGGAAUUCCGAGUGUAGAGGUGAAAUUCGUAGAUAUUCGGA